UACGGAGGAUGCGAGCGUUAUCCGGAUUCAUUGGGUUUAAAGGGUGCGUAGGCGGGAAAAUAAGUCAGUGGUGAAAGCCUGCAGCUUAACUGCAGAACUGCCAUUGAUACUGAUAGUCUUGAGUUUGGUUAAGGUAGGCGGAAUGUGUAAUGUAGCGGUGAAAUGCUUAGAUAUUACACAGAACACCAAUUGCAUAGGCAGCUUACUGAGCCGACACUGACGCUGAGGCACGAAAGCGUGGGGAUCAAACA
This 251-nucleotide ribosomal RNA is filed under the name uncultured prokaryote. RNAcentral's name for it is "partial 16S ribosomal RNA". It matches the Rfam family "Bacterial small subunit ribosomal RNA", at positions 524 to 774 of the family's 1533-position model. The record is from RNAcentral.